UACGUAUGUCCCGAGCGUUAUCCGGAUUUAUUGGGCGUAAAGCGAGCGCAGACGGUUGAUUAAGUCUGAUGUGAAAGCCCGGAGCUCAACUCCGGAAUGGCAUUGGAAACUGGUUAACUUGAGUGCAGUAGAGGUAAGUGGAACUCCAUGUGUAGCGGUGGAAUGCGUAGAUAUAUGGAAGAACACCAGUGGCGAAGGCGGCUUACUGGACUGUAACUGACGUUGAGGCUCGAAAGUGUGGGUAGCAAAC
This 250-nucleotide ribosomal RNA is filed under the name uncultured bacterium. RNAcentral's name for it is "partial 16S ribosomal RNA". It matches the Rfam family "Bacterial small subunit ribosomal RNA", at positions 524 to 773 of the family's 1533-position model. RNAcentral also lists the same sequence under 1 other name. The record is from RNAcentral.